GAUGAACGCUGGCGGCGUGCCUAACACAUGCAAGCCGAGCGAUUUACUUCGGUAAAGAGCGGCGGACGGGUGAGUAACGCGUGGGUAACCUGCCCUGUACACACGGAUAACAUACCGAAAGGUAUGCUAAUACGGGAUAAUAUGCUUUAGUCGCAUGGCUGAAGUAUCAAAGCCCCGGCGGUACAGGAUGGACCCGCGUCUGAUUAGCUAGUUGGUAAGGUAACGGCUUACCAAGGCGACGAUCAGUAGCCGACCUGAGAGGGUGAUCGGCCACAUUGGAACUGGGACACGGUCCAAACUCCCACGGGAGGCAGCAGUGGGGAAUAUUGCACAAUGGGCGAAAGCCUGAUGCAGCAACGCCGCGUGAGCGAUGAAGGCCUUCGGGUCGUAAAGCUCUGUCCUCAAGGAAGAUAAUGACGGUACUUGAGGAGGAAGCCCCGGCUAACUACGUGCCAGCCGCCGCAGUAA
RNAcentral lists this ribosomal RNA (468 nucleotides) under uncultured bacterium. RNAcentral describes it as "partial 16S ribosomal RNA". It matches the Rfam family "Bacterial small subunit ribosomal RNA", at positions 28 to 523 of the family's 1533-position model. The record is from RNAcentral.